CGUAGGCGGAUGUUUAAGUCAGAGGUGAAAGCCCAGGGCUCAACCUUGGAAAUGCCUUUGAUACUGAACAUCUUGAGUAUGGGAGAGGUGAGUGGAACUCCGAGUGUAGAGGUGAAAUUCGUAGAUAUUCGGAAGAACACCAGUGGCGAAGGCGACUCACUGGCCCAUUACUGACGCUGAGGCGCGAAAGCGUGGGGAGCAAACAGGAUUAGAUACCCUGGUAGUCCACGCUGUAAACGAUGAGUGCUAGUUGUCGGCAUGCAUGCAUGUCGGUGACGCAGCUAACGCAUUAAGCACUCCGCCUGGGGAGUACGGUCGCAAGAUUAAA
Molecule: ribosomal RNA, 328 nt
Filed under: uncultured bacterium
Lineage: Bacteria
Description: bacterial SSU rRNA
Rfam family: Bacterial small subunit ribosomal RNA
Source: RNAcentral